Molecule: ribosomal RNA, 472 nt
Filed under: uncultured bacterium
Lineage: Bacteria
Description: bacterial SSU rRNA
Rfam family: Bacterial small subunit ribosomal RNA
Source: RNAcentral
UGGGGAAUAUUGGACAAUGGGGGAAACCCUGAUCCAGCGACGCCGCGUGUGUGAAGAAGGCCUGCGGGUUGUAAAGCACUUUCGGUGGGAACGAAAUAUGCCGGGCUAAUACCCCGGUAGGCUGACGUUACUCAAUGAAGAAGCACCGGCUAACUCUGUGCCAGCAGCCGCGGUAAUACGUAGGUGGCAAGCGUUGUCCGGAUUUAUUGGGUUUAAAGGGUGCGUAGGUGGCCCUGUAAGUCAGUGGUGAAAUAUCUCAGCUUAACUGAGAGGGUGCCAUUGAUACUGCAGGGCUUGAGUACAGAUGAGGUAGGCGGAAUUGACGGUGUAGCGGUGAAAUGCAUAGAUAUCGUCAAGAACACCGAUAGCGAAGGCAGCUUACCAAGCUGUAACUGACACUGAGGCACGAAAGUGUGGGGAUCAAACAGGAUUAGAUACCCGCGUAGUCCCUGAGCGGGCUGGCAAGGCGCAU